Molecule: long non-coding RNA, 626 nt
Organism: Musa acuminata AAA Group (dessert banana)
Lineage: Eukaryota; Viridiplantae; Streptophyta; Magnoliopsida; Zingiberales; Musaceae
Exons: 2
Source: RefSeq, a predicted model, not a curated record
ACCCUAUAUCUCGUUCUCCAACCAUCGAAACCCUAAUUUUAAGAUCAUUGUUGAGCUGCGGAGGCGACGCUCGACGAUGAGGGAGAUGAUGCACAUCCAGGGUUGGCAGAGCGGGAACUAAUUGGGGGGCAAAGUUCUGGGAGGUGAUCUACAACGAGUAUGGGAUCGACGGCAGCGGCAGGUACAUUGGCGACUCCGACCUUACAGCUUGAGCGGAUCGACAUCUAUUACAGCGAGGCAAGCAGAGGCCGAUGUGCUCCGUCCGUCACUCUGGCGGUGCUCAUUGGAUCUUAAGCCCGACACCACCUACUCCGUCGGAUCCAUAUUCAAAACUACUUGAUGUUUCUCGAGGAGAACUGCAGAUCUUGAUGUUUCUUAGGGCCGGCCCAUGAACAACAAUUUAUGAAGAAUCGGAGCAGAGUUACAUCAGCUCACAGACGAAGACCACCAGCUCGACAGCCAAUCGAUUGCUUCUCCAAGACCGGUUGACCAAAGUUAUGCUCUUCCGUUGCGGUAUGACCGACCGAUUGAUUGCUCUCUAUCUUCUUCCGGAAUUAUUGAUUUACUGUGCUUAGUAAUUAUUAUUUUCGAAGAAAAAAAAAAAGUCUCUUUGACUUCCUACCUAA